RNAcentral lists this long non-coding RNA (6088 nucleotides) under Daphnia magna. Its description in RNAcentral is "uncharacterized LOC116933489, transcript variant X4". Lineage: Eukaryota; Metazoa; Arthropoda; Branchiopoda; Diplostraca; Daphniidae. The record is from RNAcentral.
UCCCCGUCCUUUCUCCUGAAUGCAAAACGCAAUUUUCUACCCCAUCCUUAUUGUCUCAGAAUCGAACAGGGUCAUUUUCAAUUUUCCAUUCUCACAGCAGUCAGGCUUUCCAAUUGCGCAAGGAAGGUGCCCUAAUUGUGUGUUCCACCAUACGUGCAAGUGUGUUGUACGUGUAAUGCAUGUGAUUGCUAAUCAAGUUCAAACUGACUUUAGAGUUUAUCCCCUUUCGGCAUUUAUACUUUUCAUGUCUUUUAAUACUUUUUUUGCUUUUGAUAAUCCCGAAACGCCUUCAGUUUCUUACGUAGAAAAACAUCAACUUGUCGGAGCUAAGGGAAUCGUGGACGAAAUGAUGGCCGCUUCUUUUCUUUUCUCCUUCAACUACAAUUUUGAUUCGACUUUUUCUCUGUUUCUCACAAACUACAUAGGCCCCAGUAGCUCAUUUGAUGAAAAGUCUUUGUUCAUCUUUAACUGAAGCUGACAAAAAUGAAACGAACUUAACUAGCACAGUCCUGGAAGAUAACUCCACGUCUAAAAGUCCGUGCAGAAACAUACAUCUAGGUGGAAUUCUUAACUUGAGAGGGCUGCAAGAAUUCCAAAUGGAAGUGAAACGAUACCCCAAAAAAGGAAACGCUCACAUGGGGGUUUUCUAUCACGUCUACCAGUUGCGUCACCCGACCUUUAACAAAUACUACCGAUACUUAUUUGCAACUGUCAGGUGCUGACAACCAACGGCCAAAUACGGUGACUUUGCUGUGACAAUGCCAGCAACAAUUUGAGCAAAAUCUUCUACACUAGUUUCUACAAAUGAACAACUUUUCCCGGAAGUCGAAUUGGUCAAUGAGCGGGCGAGAUCCAGUAUUUUCGCGUUGCACCUGUGUACCUAUACCGGCAUUAAUUGCCUUAUAGACGUUACGGUGUUUCAUCGUCUUGCAACAUUCUUGUGGGGCAAUCUCAUUUGCAUUGCCUGUACUUUACUUGAAAGUAAAAACGUCAUGUAGCCCACACAGAUUUAAUCAAGAGGGCCACAAAAACAAGAAAACGUGGUGUCAUUUUGUGUUGCGAUGCACGUGUCGUCUUGUCUACCAGUAUUCUUUCUUGUUUAAGAUAUGAUUGUUUUCCUAACUGCAGUAAAAACUAGCAAACGCAUGUCUUAAAAAUGUGCUUUUGAUUGAAUUUAUUCUGUUUCAAUUCUUUGAACUUCAUUCAGAGUUUCUAGGGCUUGUUCUAAUUUCCAACGGUUACCGGGAUCUUUUUCAGUCAUUCCGUCAAUCAUGGCAUAUGCAUAAUGAUUCUCCGGUAAACCUAAUAAGAAAAACAUUUCACCUGCACUUUAAAAACUCGUUAUUCAUUCACAAUUCUUUCUGAUAUGCUUACCCAUCCUGCCAUUGAGGAUCUUUUCACCGUUUUUAAUAUUAGCGGGAGUGAAAACUUCAUUGGGACGCUCUCCAUUGGCAAACGGAUGACCGCCCUCCGUAAGGUAAUUGAAAAAGAGACAUCCCAGUGAAAAGACGUCAAUCGAAACGUCAGCGCGGAUUUUUUCUCUCUCUUCUAUGGUUUUCUCUUCCAUCGAAAUAAAUUCUGGGGAGUAAUAGACUCGUGUGCCUUUCGGUCCACUGGACAUAGAAAAACUUCCGGAGCCUGUGACUCCCCGGCUGAAUCCAAAAUCCGAUAUUUUCAAAAUGAAUGUUGGAGAAAUCAAUACGUUUGCUGGCUUAAUGUCUCGAUGGACAAAACGAUUGGAAUGGAUGUAAUGCAAUCCUCUAGUCAUUUGAAUCAUUCCGUCGAUCUCGGAAGGCAUUUUGUCCUUAUAGUCUCCUUUGACGUAAUCGGAAAGUGUACCGACGCAUAGUUCCAAAAUCAGAUACCUUAUAACGAAAUCAACAAACUGAGUGAACUGUGUUGAAUAAUUGUUACGUUCAUAGAUACUUGAAAUUUUGGUCUUGCUGAACAUCAAGGAGCUUGAGAACGUUAGGAUGGUUCAGAUUUCUCAUGGCGUUCUCUUCCCUUUCAUUAUUAAUUUCGUCUAAGUAAAAAUUUUGAAUCCUCUUAACAGCGACCUUUUCCCCAUUAAAAGUUCCUCUGAAAACACAGGCAGAACAACCCUCGCCCAAAACUUCUUUCUUGUUGUAAUCCAUUUGUCUAUUUUUAGAUGUGGACCCUAUUCAAGAGCCUAAUUGUAAGCAAAAUAACUUUUAUUAUACAUUUUUUAUAUAAAAUUCUCUUUCUUUUUACCUAAAUAUGACUUGUUUUCAGAAGUAUUCAGUCCAUCAGUUACGCACAACCAUUUAAGGCACUAUAGAGUUGGCUAACGUCCGAAGUUGCCAGUUCGAUGAAAUUGUGAAAAAAAAAUUGGACACGAACUAGUAAAGGUUCUUGCAGAGUCAUAGAACCCUGGUUCGUUCACGACAGGGGCAGACAGGGGGGGAAUCGUCUGUCUUUGUGCCUAAUUUCGGAAAUAGCAGUCAGAGCCUCCAGCGGGUGUGUAAUGCACUACAUCGAAUGCACCAAUAAGGAAAUGUCUUUGAAAACUUAAACAGCCAAUUGCAACAGUGAUAAGGAAACGAAUGAAGCAGACGACACUUGAAAAAUUAGAGAAUUUGUUGCAGUUCGAAUUCGAAAACAACCAACACCAGACCAGUGCACCUAAUAUAUUAAAAAAAUAAUAAUAAAAAAAAAAUUAAAAAAAAAUAAACAAUUCGGUAGGUAUUGAAUAAUAACAUACAAUUUAUUUCCUCUAAUUUUUUAUCAUAUAUAUUAUCGUUUUUUUUGUCAACAACUUGCAUGAGAUAGAAUUCCUAACUGCAGUAAAAACUGGCAAACGCAUGUCUUAAAAAUGUGCUUUUGAUUAAAUUUAUUCCGUUUCAAUUCUUUUAGCUUCAUUAAGAGUUUCUAGGGCUUGUUCUAAUUUCCAACGGUUACCGGGAUCUUUAUCAGUCAUUCCGUCAAUCAUGGCAUAAGCAUAAUGAUUCUCUGGUAAACCUAAUAAGAAAAACAUUUCACUUGCGCUUUUAAAACUCGUUAUUCAUUCACAAUUCUUUCUGAUAUGCUUACCCAUCCUGCCAUUGAGGAUCUUUUCACCGUUUAGAAUAUUAGCGGGAGUUUGAACUUCAUUGGGAGGCCCUCCAUUGGCAAACGGAUGACCGCCCAUCGUAAGGUAAUUGAAAAAGAGACAUCCCAGUGAAAAGACGUCGAUCGAGACGUUAACGCGGAUUUGUUCUUUCUCUUUUUUGGUUUUCUCUUCCGUCGAAAGGAAUUCUGGGGAGUAAUAGACUCGUGUGCCUUUCGGUCCACUGGACAUAGAAAAACUUCCGGAGCCUGUGACUCCCCGGCUGAAUCCAAAAUCCGAUAUUUUCAAAACGAAUGUUUGAGAAAUCAAUACGUUUCCUGGUUUUAUGUCUCGAUGGACAAAAAGCUUGGAAUGGAUGUAAUGCAAUCCGCUAGCCAUUUGAAUCAUUCCGUCGAUCUCGGAAGGCAUUUCGCGCUUAUAGUCUCCUUUGACGUAAUCGAAAAGUGUACCGACGCAGAAUUCCAAAAUCAAAUACCUUGCAAUGAGCAGUAACAAAUAGAUUAAACUGCGUUAACUUAUUUUAAUGAACAUUGGUACUUGAAAUUAGUGUCAUUCUCAACUUCAAUGAGUUUGAGAACGUUUUGAUGGUCCAGAAUUUUCAUGGUUUCCUCUUCCUUUCUCUGAGCAGCUUCGUCCAAAUUGUUGCCCACAAUUCUCAAAAUCCUCUUAACAGCAACCUCUUUCCCAAUAAAAGUUCCUUUGAAAACAAGGGCAGAACAACCCUCGCCCAAAACUUCAUUCUGGUUGAAAUUCAUGUGUCUAUUUUUGGAUGUGGACCCUAUUCAAGAGCCUAAUUGUAAGCAAAAUAACUUUUAUUAGACAUUUUUUAUAUAAACUUUUUACCUAAAUAUGACUUGUUUUCAGAAGUAUUCAGUCCAUCAGUUACGCACAACCAUUUAAGGCACUAUAAUAAGUGUUUAACAGAUCAAGAUAUUUAUGAUUCUCCAUUGCUGUUUCAUAUCCAUACCUGCAUACAAUAGAAUCUCUUGAUCUAUCAAUCCUUAAAGACCAAUCCAAAAUUCCCACUUAGUUGCCUUAUUUUAUAUUUUUUCUUUUUCAAAUAAUGAACAUUAAUCGUUUAAUACUUGAAAAUCACGAAAUGGGGUGUCCCUAAAACGCGAAAGCGAAACGCGAAACGAACAGCAACUAAAACGCGAAACGAACAGCAACUAAAACGCGAAACGCCGUGCGAAUCAAGAUGGUUUGUUUCGCGGUUUAGCCGCUGAAUGGUGUUUCAUUCCCAUGCUAAAGUGCGAAACAACGUUGCGAAACAGAAGGCUGCUGGAUGGCUGGCGAAAGCGCGAAAUGUUAAUAUUUCAAUAAAUAAAAAAAGAAAAUUUUAACAGGAAUCGCAGGUAAUUUAAAGUCAAACAUAUUUGCUUUUACCAACGUGUUGAAAGUUAAUUUUGGGCAAGGCUUUUACAUUUCUGACAGAGCCAAACAGUCUCAUGAGUUUUUUCAGGCCAAAUUUAACAUGCUAUGGAACCAUUCAAGGCACUCAGAGGUCAGAGCACUGGAGAACAUCCCAGUUAGCCCACGGCUUUACAUUUUUUGGUUUAAACUCAAUUUAAUUCAAUCAAUUAAUUUCAUUUACUUCAAUCAGAUUCUAAACACAUUGUUAUAUUUAAAAUACUAGUUUUUUAUUCCCCAUCGUGUUUAGUUUCCUAUUAGCCAAUACAAGUUAACAAUUCGUCGCGAAUUUGUUCAAGUAAAUGCCAACAAAUUAAAAAAGGACUGGAAAGAACCAUAGAUUUAAAAAAUGAGUUUUUGUUGGCGUAGAGCUUACAAUGCUUAUCGGGGUUACAUGUUCUCAAAAAAGAAUAGUACAUGGUUCUUAUUUCUCUAAAUGAAAUGCCAAAUCCAAUGGCAUUUUAAAAAAGGAUUUCGCAAAAUCAUUUCGCUAUUUAGGUUGCCUUUUUUGAGUGUUUCGCAGCCCAUUGCCUGGGGGCUGUUUCGCACGGCGUUCCGCGUUUUAGUCGCUGUUCGUUUCGCGUUUCGCUUUCGCGUUUUAGGGAUGCCCGUCUGCAUACUUUAAAUAUUUAAAAAGUUGUGAUAUCUUUAAGGCGCGUUCACACCAGAGGUUUUUCGGCUAGCCGAAAGAUGAAAGAUGAAAACUAUGGCAACCGGUUUUACCAACAUUUAUUUUUUCUUUUUCCCAAAAAAAAAAAAAAAUCUCUACUCUUUCGCCAUCUAGCGGUCGAUCUUGAACUCGGUUUCCCAAGUGAUUUAUUCCCUUUGUGUGACAUUGCACUAUUGCAGUUGCAGUCGAAGUCCUCGCGUUGCUGAGUCCCUCAAACAGCCUGCUGAUUUCUGAGCACAACAUCAAUCUUAAGUGAUUUCGUCGGCCGAAAGCGUCAGACGUUGAAUUCUGAGCACAGCAUCACCAUGGCUCAAAAUUAUUUGGUCGGCCGAAAGCGUCAGACAUUGAAUUCACCAUCUGAUAAGGGUAUGAAGGUGAAUUCCAUCAGUGCUGUACUUAAACAUUCUCUGUCAGUAGUUCCAUGUCCAGACGGGACAGAACAUCUAUGGGAUAGAAUCAUAUGCUACGUUGGACUUGGUUAUUCAGUGAGAAGAAUAACGUGAGAAGAAUAACAACACACAACAUUUCUCAUUAGACUUGCAGUUAGGGAUGACGACUUCAAAGACAAAACAUCUGGAACAAGUUGGAAAGAAUUGCUUCUCGUUCCUUCCAACAACCGGCUUUUCGUAACAACUGUUUCUAUCUCUCGUUUCACCAUGUUGAAUUCAACUUGACCGACAUCAGCAGUACUGCAGGAGCGACGCUUUCACUUUCAGAGCCUCAGGAACGCGAGGACUUCGACUGCAGUAUCACACAAAGAGACAGUGUUACCACGAAAAAAAUCAUGAUCGGGAUCGUUUACUGUUAUAUUAAAGUCUGUUGGAGACAAUGUUGUCAUAACAUGCUGCAAAACUCUCCCUGUAACAAUUUCCCCUCCACUUUCUUUAAUGUAACUUUGCAAUUCUUCUACACAAAGAGAAAUACAGAUGGGAAAUAACAAA